This 253-nucleotide ribosomal RNA is filed under the name uncultured bacterium. Its description in RNAcentral is "partial 16S ribosomal RNA". It matches the Rfam family "Bacterial small subunit ribosomal RNA", at positions 524 to 776 of the family's 1533-position model. The record is from RNAcentral.
UACAUAGGGUGCAAGCGUUGUCCGGAAUUACUGGGCGUAAAGAGCGUGUAGGCGGCUUUUUAAGUCGUAACCUUAAAUACAGGGGCUCAACCCCUGUCAGGGUUCGAUACUGAUAAGCUAGAGAUUGGGAGAGGAAAGUGGAACUCACAGUGUAGCGGUGAAAUGCGUAGAUAUUGUGAGGAACACCCGUGGCGAAGGCGACUUUCUGGACCAUUUCUGACGCUGAGACGCGAAAGCGUGGGGAGCAAACAGG